AGUGGAACAAUGAGGAUUUGAAUCCACGUAUGUCUCACUGGACAUAUGCUCAGGAAUUGCCUUACUGUCAUUUCCAUAGAGGACAAUGGCCUGGGCCCACACCACCCUCCUGCCUGUCUUCAGCCUUUGUCAGUGGAUCCUUUCCCCACUUGGAAGACUCCCCUUGCAUCCUCCUCCAUGUUGUCCUCCAAAUGUGCUGGCCGAGAGCCCAGUGCCUGAAUCAGAGGGACCUGGGUUUGAAUCCCACCUCUGCCAUUAAACACCAGCUGUCUGACCUCAACUGUGUUCCUUUGCUUCUCUGGGCUUCAGAUUCUCCAUCUGAAUAAUAAUAGAAGCUACCUUGGGAUUGCCUCAAGGAUCAAAUGCGAGAGAGUUCACCUUAAACAAUGAGUGGAGGGCCUGGUGUGUAAUAAAGCACUCAAUAAAUGUUAACUAUUAUUGAUCUUCACCUGGGCAGUGGCUGCUGACUGUUUAAGUUUCUCAGCCUUUGAAUCAGGUACUUCCGACCCAGCUCUAUUUAUUGACAUGGAAAGAUGCCCAAAGUGUACUGCUGAAGGGAAAAAAGCAGGCUACAAAAGAAUAUAUUCCUCCCAGGUCAUUUUAAAGAUCAAAGCUAACCAUGGACAUCUAGCGCCUAGUAGGGUACCUGGGACACAGGAAGCUGUCACUGAAAGCUAGCUGUGACUAUACAAUAUAAUACCAUAGUAAUACAAAAGCAUUUUUGUAGUCCGUAUGAUGCCACCUUCAAAUAUUAUGUGAGCUCCUGUGAAACGAGAUGAUAUUUGCAAUGUGCUUGCAUCAAAGGGAGGUAGAGCUGCGUAUUCCCUUCUGCCUUCUUUCUGACACGUUUCAGAGAGUGAUCAUGGGCAGGGCUUGAGUUGACCUUGGGACCCAUUGAUCUGAUGUGAAUUUUGCUACUUUUUUUUUUUUUUUUUUUUUUUGAGAGACCGGAGAGUGCAGUGGCUGUUCACAGGCACGAUCCCAGCACUGAUCAGCGCGGGAGAUUUGACCUGCUCUGUUUCCAGCCUGGGCCAGUUCACCUCUCCUUAGGCAACCUGGUGUUUCUUUGCUCCCAGGAGGUCAUGUUUUGGUCCUUUUUUGUGUGGCACUGGAGUGAAAGAAAAGAAAAGCAUUGCCCUUUGGCGUUGAGACUACAAACUUGGGUUUAGGGUGCUCUUUGUAAUAACUGAGGUACUAUAACACAUUAAACACUAGGGGGCGCUCCAAUCUGUUGGCAAUAGAGAUAAAUACAAAAAGCCGUGAUAAUAACGAUGCUAUAUGAAUACUGCUGUUACAUUUAACAAUGCCGUUUACAUUGAACACUGAGCUCUUACUAUGAGAGCCUAAAAUAGAGCAAGAGAGUCACAAACUUUAUCACCUUUUAACCUUGCAAACAUCCCAUUAGAGAACAUUAUCAAAGAUUUUCUAAUAGGGCAUAUCACUCUGUGGGAUUUAAAAAAUUUGUGUAUUACAUAUAUACAUAUGUACAUAUAUAUACAUAUAUACAUAUAUAUAUACACACAUACAUAUACACAUAAUUUUUUUUGAGACAGGGUCUCACUCUGUCGCCCAGGCUGGAGUGUAGUGGCACAAUCGCAGCUCACAGUAGCCUAGAUCUCCUGGGCUCAAGCGAUCCUCCUGCCUCAGCCUUCCAAGAAGCUGAGAUUACAGGUGUGCACAACUAUACCUGGCUAAUUUUUUAAUUUUUCUGUAGAGACAGGGUCUUGCCAUGUUGCCCAAGCUGCUCUUUGACCUCCUGAAGUACUAGGAUUAUAGACGUGAGCCACUGCAACUGGCCUAAAAAUAUAUUUUUUUAAUGGAGUUGUAAUUCACAAGUGUUGUAAAAGGUAAAAACAUUAAGUGUACAGCUUGGUGAAUUGUUACAUGUGUAUACACACAGGUAACCUCCAUCCGGAUCAAGAUGUGAAGCUUUUCUAAUAUCCUUUCUACUCACUCCUACUCCCACCCAAGGAAACCAUGCUCCUAAUUCUAUUACCAUUUAUUCGUUUUGCUUAUUUCUGAACUUCACGUAAAUGGAAUCAUACAUAUGCAAACUUUAGGGUUGCCAUAAAAAUCCAGGAUGUCAUUUUUCUUUUUUUUGAGAUGGAGUCUUGCCCUGUCACCCAGGCUGGAGUGCAGUGACACGAUCUCAGCUCACUGCAAUCUCCAUCUCCUGGGUUCAAGCAAUUCUCCUGUCUCAGCCUCCUGAGUUGCUGGGAUUAGAGGUGCAUGCCACCACGCCUGGCUAAUUUUUUUUUUUUGUAUGUUUAGUAGAGACAAGGUUUCACCAUGUUGGCCAGGCUGGUCUCAAACUCCUGACCUCAUGAUCCGCCCACCUUGGCCUCCCAAAGUGCUGGGAUUACAGGCAUGAGCCACCACACCUGGCCUCAAUGUGCUCUUCGACCAUAGUCGCCGCCUCCUCCCCUCCUCCUCCUCCCUCCUCCUCGACGGAGUCCACCUGUCACCCAGGCUGAGUGCGGUCGUGACCUCGUUUCACUGCUCCGCUUCUCCCCGGUUCACGCCAUUCUUCCUGC
This is a long non-coding RNA of Papio anubis (olive baboon), 2534 nucleotides long. NCBI's taxonomy places the organism in Eukaryota, Metazoa, Chordata, Mammalia, Primates, Cercopithecidae. The record is from Ensembl.